This 312-nucleotide ribosomal RNA is filed under the name Triticum aestivum (bread wheat). RNAcentral's name for it is "partial small subunit ribosomal RNA". The record is from RNAcentral. Lineage: Eukaryota; Viridiplantae; Streptophyta; Magnoliopsida; Poales; Poaceae.
AUGAAGGCUGCUCUUGAUGUUUUGCAGUUGAUGAAGAAGAAUGGGGUCAACCCAAAUGUCCAAAUUUUUAAUGUAGUGAUCCAUGGAUUCUGUUGUGACAGUAAAGUGCAUCAAGCGAUGGCCUUCUUGACACAAAUGGUUGGGGCUGGGUUGUCGCCAAAUACUGUUACAUUCAACCCGCUGAUAUCUGGUCAUUGUAGCAUGGGUGAAAUUAAGAUUGCUAUCCAGUUGCUUGGUUUGAUGGAGGAUUAUGGCGUUCUUCCAGAUCGACAAACUUAUGCCAUCUUUAUAGAUGCUCAUUGUGAGGCCGAC